RNAcentral lists this ribosomal RNA (447 nucleotides) under uncultured organism. Its description in RNAcentral is "partial 16S ribosomal RNA". It matches the Rfam family "Bacterial small subunit ribosomal RNA", at positions 332 to 796 of the family's 1533-position model. The record is from RNAcentral.
UACACUCCUACGGGAGGCAGCAGUGGGGAAUAUUGGACAAUGGGCGCAAGCCUGAUCCAGCCAUGCCGCGUGAGUGAUGAAGGCCCUAGGGUUGUAAAGCUCUUUCACCGGUGAAGGUAAUGACGGUAACCGGAGAAGAAGCCCCGGCUAACUUCGUGCCAGCAGCCGCGGUAAUACGAAGGGGGCUAGCGUUGUUCGGAUUUACUGGGCGUAAAGCGCACGUAGGCGGACUAUUAAGUCAGGGGUGAAAUCCCGGGGCUCAACCCCGGAACUGCCUUUGAUACUGGUAGUCUUGAGUUCGAGAGAGGUGAGUGGAAUUCCGAGUGUAGAGGUGAAAUUCGUAGAUAUUCGGAGGAACACCAGUGGCGAAGGCGGCUCACUGGCUCGAUACUGACGCUGAGGUGCGAAAGCGUGGGGAGCAAACAGGAUUAGAAACCCCAGUAGUCC